RNAcentral lists this ribosomal RNA (266 nucleotides) under uncultured bacterium. RNAcentral's name for it is "partial 16S ribosomal RNA". It matches the Rfam family "Bacterial small subunit ribosomal RNA", at positions 88 to 354 of the family's 1533-position model. The record is from RNAcentral.
CAUUCGAGUGGCGGACGGGUGAGUAACGCGUGGGUAACCUGCCUUACACAGGGGGAUAACACCUGGAAACAGGUGCUAAUACCGCAUAAGCGCACAGGGCCGCAUGGCCCGGUGUGAAAAACUCCGGUGGUGUAAGAUGGACCCGCGUCUGAUUAGCUUGUUGGCGGGGUAGGGGCCCACCAAGGCGACGAUCAGUAGCCGGCCUGAGAGGGUGGGCGGCCACAUUGGGACUGAGACACGGCCCAAACUCCUACGGAAGGCAGCAG